AUUGAACGCUGGCGGCGUGCCUAACACAUGCAAGUCGAGCGGUAACAGGUGUAGCAAUACAUGCUGACGAGCGGCGAACGGGUGAGUAAUGCUUCGGAAUCUACCCAAUGGUGGGGAAUAACCAGCCGAAAGGUUGGCUAAUACCGCAUACGUCCUACGGGAGAAAGCAGGGGAUCGUAAGACCUUGCGCCAAUGGAUGAGCCGAAGUCGGAUUAGCUAGUGGUAGGGUAACGGCCUACCAAGGCGACGAUCCGUAGCUGGUCUGAGAGGACGACCAGCCACACUGGGACUGAGACACGGCCCAGACUCCUACGGGAGGCAGCAGUGGGGAAUAUUGGACAAUGGGGGAAACCCUGAUCCAGCGACGCCGCGUGUGUGAAGAAGGCCUGCGGGUUGUAAAGUACUUUUAGU
RNAcentral lists this ribosomal RNA (411 nucleotides) under uncultured bacterium. Its description in RNAcentral is "bacterial SSU rRNA". It matches the Rfam family "Bacterial small subunit ribosomal RNA", at positions 30 to 440 of the family's 1533-position model. The record is from RNAcentral.